This 75-nucleotide transfer RNA is filed under the name bacterium BMS3Abin13. Its description in RNAcentral is "tRNA-Cys". It matches the Rfam family "tRNA". From Rfam's summary of the family: Transfer RNA (tRNA) molecules are approximately 80 nucleotides in length. Their secondary structure includes four short double-helical elements and three loops (D, anti-codon, and T loops). The record is from RNAcentral. RNAcentral also lists the same sequence under 5 other names.
GGCGACGUAGCCAAGUGGUAAGGCAGUGGUCUGCAAAACCAUUAUUCACCGGUUCAAAUCCGGUCGUCGCCUCCA